ACCAGACUCCUACGGGAGGCAGCAGUGGGGAAUAUUGCACAAUGGGGGAAACCCUGAUGCAGCGACGCCGCGUGAGUGAGGAAGUAUUUCGGUAUGUAAAGCUCUAUCAGCAGGGAAGAAAAUGACGGUACCUGACUAAGAAGCCCCGGCUAACUACGUGCCAGCAGCCGCGGUAAUACGUAGGGGGCAAGCGUUAUCCGGAUUUACUGGGUGUAAAGGGAGCGUAGACGGACUUGCAAGUCUGAUGUGAAAAUCCGGGGCCCAACCCCGGGACUGCUUUGGAAACUGUAUGGCUGGAGUGCUGGAGAGGCAAGCGGAAUUCCUAGUGUAGCGGUGAAAUGCGUAGAUAUUAGGAAGAACACCAGUGGCGAAGGCGGCUUGCUGGACAGUAACUGACGUUGAGGCUCGAAAGCGUGGGGAGCAAACAGGAUUAGAUACCCUCGUAC
RNAcentral lists this ribosomal RNA (446 nucleotides) under uncultured bacterium. RNAcentral's name for it is "bacterial SSU rRNA". It matches the Rfam family "Bacterial small subunit ribosomal RNA", at positions 330 to 793 of the family's 1533-position model. The record is from RNAcentral.